Molecule: ribosomal RNA, 326 nt
Filed under: uncultured eukaryote
Lineage: Eukaryota
Description: partial 18S ribosomal RNA
Rfam family: Eukaryotic small subunit ribosomal RNA
Source: RNAcentral
CCCUUAGAUGUUCUGGGCUGCACGCGCGCUACACUGAUGCACUCAACGAGUUUACGACCUUGCCCGAUAGGGUUGGGUAAUCUUUUUAAAAUGCAUCGUGAUGGGGAUAGAUUAUUGCAAUUAUUAAUCUUCAACGAGGAAUUCCUAGUAAGCGCGAGUCAUCAGCUCGUGCUGAUCACGUCCCUGCCCUUUGUACACACCGCCCGUCGCUCCUACCGAUUGAGUGCUCAGGUGAAUAAUUCGGACUGCAGCAAUGUUUGGAUCCCGAACGUUGCAGCGGAAAGUUUAGUGAACCUUAUCACUUAGAGGAAGGAGAAGUCGUAACA